GCCUCGUCUGAGAGGCCGGCGCCGGGGCAGUGACCUGCCCGUGCCCCGCCGCCGCGCAGGGCGCCCAGGGCAGCUGGCCGAGCCCUCGAGGCCUCCCGCCUGACGGAGGCGCCCGGGAAGCGCCGCCCACCUCGGCCCCGCACCCUCGCCGGCCUGCCUGGUCUCCGGCAGCCCUAGCAGACAGAGAGGGGCGCCGGUCCCUGUUCCCCCAGACCUCCAUUCAAGGUCAAAACUUUGCCCAGCUCAGCCUUGCUCGACCCCGGGCAGGGAAGCGCGGACAUCGGCAGAGGGAGCCCGAGGCUCUCCGUGCCCUUCGCGCCGGUGAGUUCCCGACCCGCGGCGCUGCCGGCGUUUCUCUAGCGCCCGCCAGGUUGACGGGCACUUUAGUACCAACUCCUCAGACUCCCCGUCAUGAACUCCCCAAAGAUGGAUAACACUAACAUAUAGUCAGUGGGAGAGAAAUCUCAGAAAAUAACUGUUAGUGUGUCACUGUAAUGGGAAAUGGAAAAGAAGAAAAACAGCACUUAUCAAGCAUCUUCUAUGUACAAACUGCCAUUUCAGACUCAGAGCAGUCCUUGAAGGUCAAGAACUAUGGAAUCUUUCAGAUGAUAUUCUGAUACUUCUGGACAAAGAUUGAAUUUGUUCUUCAUGAAAAAUGUCUGGGACCUUUUAUAGAUGGGGUCUUGCUCUGUUACCCAGGCUGGAGUGCCUAUGAUCACACCAUAGCUUACUGCAACCUCGAACUCCUGGGCUCAAGUGAUCCUCUCGCCUCAUCCUCCAGAGUAGCUGGGAGUAUAGGCACAUGGCAUCAUAUCUGGCUAAUUUAUUUUUAUUUUUUAAAAUUUUUAAGAGAAGGGGUCUCACUGUCUUGCCCAGGCUGGUUUCAAGCUCUGGGUUACAAGUGAUCCUCCCAUCUCAGCCUCCUGAGUAGCUGGGAUUACAGGUGUGAGCCACAUCACCAGGCUGAUAUAUCUAUUAAAAUCUUCCCAGCUAUACAAUUAUCAUACUCCCUUGUUUCUAAAUGCCAACUUGGGGUAAUAAUUUUUGUUAUUUAAUGUGAUGAGACUCAUUAUAAAUGUAUAUCAAAUCAGAUGGUCUAGCCAGAAAAAAGGCUAGCAAUUAAAUUGGAGUUUAUGGUCUACUCUGAUAAUGUGAUUAUUUCCUUGAUAUGUUUAAAUAUGUACAAAAAAGGUGUUCCAUGUAUCAAACUGACUGACAUGUAAACUUUUAGAAAAGAGUAUGUAUAUUAGAUGCCGCAUAUACAUAUUAUAAUUCUAUAAGACAUCAAUUAAAAAAUAUAAGGUGAUUUUAAUGACUUUUUAUUUAAAUAUUUGUUUUGAUCUGAGAACCCAAUGCCCUGAAUAUUCUGGAUAACAGAAGAUCAUAGUUGUUUUACUAAUUUCCAGUAAUAUCCCAGGGACCACCUUUUAAAUAAAAAUUAUC
Molecule: long non-coding RNA, 1443 nt
Organism: Symphalangus syndactylus (siamang)
Lineage: Eukaryota; Metazoa; Chordata; Mammalia; Primates; Hylobatidae
Source: RefSeq, a predicted model, not a curated record